This is a long non-coding RNA of Rhododendron vialii, 1064 nucleotides long. RefSeq lists it as uncharacterized. The record is from RefSeq and is a predicted model, not a curated record. Lineage: Eukaryota; Viridiplantae; Streptophyta; Magnoliopsida; Ericales; Ericaceae. The transcript has 3 exons.
CCCCCUCCCUUUUUCUUCUCUUCGUCUUCUGAUUAGAGAGAGAGAGAGAAGUUUUGAGGCGAUUUUGUGGGUUCUAGCCUUCAACAGCGUUGCCGCUUGCCGUCCAGAGCUGACUGCCUCUUCACUCUCUCUGUCUCUCACAACACAAACGCACAUAUACCCCUGUCUCUCUCUCGCCGCCCAUAGUUACCAGGCAUCUGGAUUCUUCUUUGGGGUGUGCUCAAGGCAUUCUUCUUCGCAAGAAAAAAAGGGCUAGGGUUUCAUGUGCGUUGUUCUCUCUCUCGAUGAAGGAUAGGUUUGCGAAAGCUUGACAAAGAUCUGGAUCCCCGUUGUUUUGCACAUCGUUGUUUGAUCACGAAAGAGUUCAGGUCCCCUUUGUGCGUUGGAUCCGUGUGGAACGUCAAAGCCAUCUGGCCUUGAAUGGAGUUUUUUGCUGUGGAAACCGCCGGUAGAAUGAGAACAAUUGCUGUUGUGUCAACUCAUAGAGCCCCUGGACACCUCUACUACAGACCGUUUAGCAACUUUGUGUGUGAUUAAGAUUUUCAAAGCUAAAACUUUUCAGAAUGCAGGAGCAACAACAAUUAGAACUGUUUCUCUGUUAUGCCCGAUUGCUCCACAUGUUUGGCACUCUAAUUAUGUUGAGAAUAUAGAUAGUAUGGUGCGUAUUCUUUUUUGCAAGAUUGACUCUCAACGCUGUAGUUUCGCAUGAUUAGAUGCUUCGUGCCAUUUUAAAAUGAUGAUUUUACAUUUUGAAUUAUGUAAAUGCAUUUGCUUCCACUUGGUCAAUUGUUAUAUUUCAUGUUCGUUUGGACUCCUCACAUUGUCUGCUUUCAGAAAUUUGCACAGCUGGCUGCUAUUAUUCAUAGAAGAAAAUUUUAUCUUCUUUCCCAUAUGAGUAGUGAAUUGUUUGCAUUUUUCACAUGUGAUGCCCCUAUUCAUGUUUAGUUUUCAUUUAGUGACACAAAGAUAAAUAUGAAAAGAGAUUUGCUUUAGUUUAAUUCCUCUCCAUUGUGUUCUGGUAAAUAUGGCAUUACACAAAUACCAACUAAUCAAAACUUAUUCCC